AAUGUCGAACGAGAAAGUCACUUCGGUGGCGAGUACAGUGGCGCACGGGUGAGUAACGCGUAGAUGAUCUACCCUUCAGUCUGGGACAACUCUUGGAAACGGGAGCUAAUACCGGAUAAAACCUUCGGGUUGAAAGAUUUAUCGCUGGGGGAUGAGUCUGCGUACCAUUAGCUUGUUGGUGGGGUAACGGCCUACCAAGGCGACGAUGGUUAGCGGGUCUGAGAGGACGAUCCGCCACACUGGAACUGAGACACGGUCCAGACUCCUACGGGAGGCAGCAGUAGGGAAUAUUGCGCAAUGGGGGCAACCCUGACACAGCAAUGCCGCGUGAGUGAAGAAGGCCUUCGGGUCGUAAAGCUCUUUUAUGGGGGAAGAUGAUGACGGUACCCCAUGAAUAAGCACCGGCUAACUACGUGCCAGCAGCCGCGGUAAUACGUAGGGUGCGAGCGUUGUUCGGAAUUACUGGGCGUAAAGGGCGUGCAGGCGGAUUGGCAAGCCGGAGGUGAAAGCCCGGGGCUCAACCCCGGAGGGUCUUUCGGAACUGCCAGUCUUGAGAGGGUCAGGGGCCAGCGGAAUUCCUGGUGUAGAGGUGAAAUUCGUAGAGAUCAGGAGGAACACCGGCGGCGAAAGCGGCUGGCUGGGGCCACUCUGACGCUGAGGCGCGAAAG
RNAcentral lists this ribosomal RNA (668 nucleotides) under uncultured bacterium. Its description in RNAcentral is "bacterial SSU rRNA". It matches the Rfam family "Bacterial small subunit ribosomal RNA", at positions 58 to 759 of the family's 1533-position model. The record is from RNAcentral.